AACGAACGCUGGCGGCAUGCCUAACACAUGCAAGUCGAACGAUGCCUUCGGGCAUAGUGGCUCACGGGUGCGUAACGCGUGGGAAUCUGCCUUUCGGUUCGGAAUAACUCAGGGAAACUUGAGCUAAUACCGGAUAACGUCGCCAAACCAAAGAUUUAUCACCGAAAGAUGAGCCCGCGUGGGAUUAGCUAGUUGGUGAGGUAAAGGCUCACCAAGGCGACGAUCCUUAGCUGGUCUGAGAGGAUGAUCAGCCACACUGGGACUGAGACACGGUCCAGACUCCUACGGGAGGCAGCAGUGGGGAAUAUUGGACUAUGGGCGAAAGCCUGAUCCAGCAAUGCCGCGUGAGUGAUGAAGGCGUGAGGGUUGUAAAGCUCUUUUACCCGGGAAGAUAAUGACGGUACCGGGAGAAUAAGCCCCGGCUAACUCCGUG
RNAcentral lists this ribosomal RNA (433 nucleotides) under uncultured bacterium. RNAcentral's name for it is "partial 16S ribosomal RNA". It matches the Rfam family "Bacterial small subunit ribosomal RNA", at positions 29 to 507 of the family's 1533-position model. The record is from RNAcentral.